This 490-nucleotide ribosomal RNA is filed under the name uncultured bacterium. Its description in RNAcentral is "partial 16S ribosomal RNA". It matches the Rfam family "Bacterial small subunit ribosomal RNA", at positions 30 to 507 of the family's 1533-position model. The record is from RNAcentral.
AUUGAACGCUGGCGGCAGGCCUAACACAUGCAAGUCGAAUGGUAACAGGAAACAGCUUGCUGUUUCGCUGACGAGUGGCGGACGGGUGAGUAAUGUCUGGGAAACUGCCUGAUGGAGGGGGAUAACUACUGGAAACGGUAGCUAAUACCGCAUAACGUCGCAAGACCAAAGAGGGGGACCUUCGGGCCUCUUGCCAUCAGAUGUGCCCAGAUGGGAUUAGCUAGUAGGUGGGGUAACGACUCACCUAGGCGACGAUCCCUAGCUGGUCUGAGAGGAUGACCAGCCACACUGGAACUGAGACACGGUCCAGACUCCUACGGGAGGCAGCAGUGGGGAAUAUUGCACAAAGGGCGCAAGCCUGAUGCAGCCAUGCCGCGUGUAUGAAGAAGGCCUUCGGGUUGUAAAGUACUUUCAGCGGGGAGGAAGGGAGUAAAGUUAAUACCUUUGCUCAUUGACGUUACCCGCAGAAGAAGCACCGGCUAACUCCGUG